CUCCAGAUGUUGCUGAACUACAACUCCCAUUUCACUCUGGCUAUCUAUUUCAUUCGAAGAAUCAUGGGAAUUGUAGUUCAGCAACAUCUGGAG
Pelobates cultripes (western spadefoot toad) is the source of this 93-nucleotide non-coding RNA. NCBI's taxonomy places the organism in Eukaryota, Metazoa, Chordata, Amphibia, Anura, Pelobatidae. The record is from the annotation of a GenBank genome assembly.